This is a long non-coding RNA of Esox lucius (northern pike), 315 nucleotides long. Lineage: Eukaryota; Metazoa; Chordata; Actinopteri; Esociformes; Esocidae. The record is from Ensembl.
CCAUUCUUCAAGUUACUUAACGUGUUUUUACCUAGUAUUAGAUUAUUAUUCCGUUUUUGUUAAAUCAAUAAUCUUUGUGACUGUUUAUAUAUAGCUAGCUGCUAGCACGAUGUUCGGUUGCGAGGAAAGACGUUCCAAAAACAAACUUGUGCAAAGGGAGAAAGACAGAAUCAAGAGAGAUGAAGAAUUGACAGAUCGUAUUGCAGAACUGGACAGUAACCGUGGUGUGCUGCAAAAGGCUGUGUUUGAGGGCUGCACCCAGACUGAUUCAGCAAAGGCUCUGAAACUGAGGAUGCUGACCCAGCAAAGAGAAAC